UACAGAGGUGGCAAGCGUUGUUCGGAAUUACUGGGCGUAAAGGGCGCGUAGGCGGCCAUCUAAGUCAGACGUGAAAUCCCCCGGCUUAACCUGGGAACUGCGUCUGAUACUGGACGGCUGGAGUUUGGGAGAGGGAUGUAGAAUUCCAGGUGUAGCGGUGAAAUGCGUAGAUAUCUGGAGGAAUACCGGUGGCGAAGGCGGCAUCCUGGACCAAUACUGACGCUGAGGAGCGAAAGCGUGGGGAGCGAACAGG
Molecule: ribosomal RNA, 253 nt
Filed under: uncultured bacterium
Lineage: Bacteria
Description: partial 16S ribosomal RNA
Rfam family: Bacterial small subunit ribosomal RNA
Source: RNAcentral